Oreochromis niloticus (Nile tilapia) is the source of this 492-nucleotide long non-coding RNA. RefSeq lists it as uncharacterized. Lineage: Eukaryota; Metazoa; Chordata; Actinopteri; Cichliformes; Cichlidae. The transcript has 3 exons. The record is from RefSeq and is a predicted model, not a curated record.
CUGUGGCUUGUCAAAGAUCAGCUGUGAUUAUCUGGCAGCAGCGCUGAAGUCCAACCCCUCCCAUCUGAGAGAGCUGAGCCUGAGCUGGAACAAGCUGCAGGCUUCAGGAGUGAAGCAUCUGUGUGGUUUCCUGGAGAGUCCCGGAUGUGGACUUGAAACUCUGAGAUUGACCAGCUGUGGUUUGUCAAAGAUCAGCUGUGAUUAUCUGGCAGCAGCACUGAAGUCCAACCCCUCCCAUCUGAGAGAGCUGGAGCUGUGGAGAAACAACCUGAAACUUCCAGAUGUGACGCAUUUUUUUUAUCUUAAGGAGAGUCCAGACUGCAGACUGGAGUAUCUGCUGUGGAGGUGAUGAUGGUAACAGGACGGUGUGUGUGCUGAGAGAGGAGCAGCUGUGUCCUGAUGAUCCAGAGAGGUUGAAGCAGCAGCAGCUUGUGUGUAGAGACGCUCUGACUGGGCCAUGUUACUGGGAGGUGGAGAGGAGAGCUUCAUCCA